RNAcentral lists this ribosomal RNA (661 nucleotides) under uncultured Pseudoxanthomonas sp. Its description in RNAcentral is "bacterial SSU rRNA". It matches the Rfam family "Bacterial small subunit ribosomal RNA", at positions 34 to 682 of the family's 1533-position model. The record is from RNAcentral. Lineage: Bacteria; Pseudomonadati; Pseudomonadota; Gammaproteobacteria; Lysobacterales; Lysobacteraceae.
CGCUGGCGGCAGGCCUAACACAUGCAAGUCGAACGGCAGCGGGUAGGAAGCUUGCUUCCUAUGCCGGCGAGUGGCGGACGGGUGAGGAACACAUCGGAAUCUACUCCGUCGUGGGGGAUAACGUAGGGAAACUUACGCUAAUACCGCAUACGACCUAAGGGUGAAAGUGGGGGACCGUAAGGCCUCACGCGAUGGAAUGAGCCGAUGUCCGAUUAGCUAGUUGGCGGGGUAAAGGCCCACCAAGGCGACGAUCCGUAGCUGGUCUGAGAGGAUGAUCAGCCACACUGGAACUGAGACACGGUCCAGGCUCCUACGGGAGGCAGCAGUGGGGAAUAUUGGACAAUGGGCGCAAGCCUGAUCCAGCCAUGCCGCGUGGGUGAAGAAGGCCUUCGGGUUGUAAAGCCCUUUUGUUGGGAAAGAAAAGCGAUCGGUUAAUACCCGGUUGUUCUGACGGUACCCAAAGAAUAAGCACCGGCUAACUUCGUGCCAGCAGCCGCGGUAAUACGAAGGGUGCAAGCGUUACUCGGAAUUACUGGGCGUAAAGCGUGCGUAGGUGGUGGUUUAAGUCUGCUGUGAAAGCCCUGGGCUCAACCUGGGAAUUGCAGUGGAUACUGGGUCACUAGAGUGUGGUAGAGGGUAGUGGAAUUCCCGGUGUAGCAGU